Molecule: ribosomal RNA, 82 nt
Filed under: Paenibacillus polymyxa
Lineage: Bacteria; Bacillati; Bacillota; Bacilli; Caryophanales; Paenibacillaceae
Also listed under: 2 other names
Description: partial 23S ribosomal RNA
Rfam family: Bacterial large subunit ribosomal RNA
Source: RNAcentral
GACGACGAGGUAGAUAGGUUGGGGGUGGAAGUGCAGUAAUGCAUGGAGCUGACCAAUACUAAUCGGUCGAGGGCUUAUCCUA